AAUCCUUUUCCUCUCAUGAGGAAAAGCUGAAAGACGGUUUCGGCUGUCACUUACAGAUGGGCCCGCGGCGCAUUAGCUAGUUGGUGAGGUAACGGCUCACCAAGGCGACGAUGCGUAGCCGACCUGAGAGGGUGAUCGGCCACACUGGGACUGAGACACGGCCCAGACUCCUACGGGAGGCAGCAGUAGGGAAUCUUCCGCAAUGGACGAAAGUCUGACGGAGCAACGCCGCGUGAGCGAUGAAGGCCUUCGGGUCGUAAAGCUCUGUUGUUAGGGAAGAACAAGUACCGGAGUCACUGCCGGUACCUUGACGGUACCUAACCAGAAAGCCACGGCUAACUACGUGCCAGCAGCCGCGGUAAUACGUAGGUGGCAAGCGUUGUCCGGAAAUUAUUGGGCGUAAAGCGCGCGCAGGCGGUCCUUUAAGUCUGAUGUGAAAGCCCACGGCUCAACCCGUGGAGGGUCAUUGGAAACUGGGGGACUUGAGUGCAGAAGAGGAAAGCGGAAUUCCACGUGUAGCGGUGAAAUGCGUAGAGAUGUGGAGGAACACCAGUGGCGAAGGCGGCUUUCUGGUCUGUAACUGACGCUGAGGCGCGAAAGCGUGGGGAGCAAACAGGAUUAGAUACCCUGGUAGUCCACGCCGUAAACGAUGAGUGCUAAGUGUUAGAGGGUUUCCGCCCUUUAGUGCUGCAGCUAACGCAUUAAGCACUCCGCCUGGGGAGUACGGGCCGCAAGGCUGAAACUCAAAGGAAUUGACGGGGGCCCGCACAAGCGGUGGAAGCAUGUGGUUUAAUUCGAAGCAACGCGAAGAACCCUUACCAGGUUCUUGACAUCCUCUGACAACCCUAGAGAUAGGGCUUUCCCCUUCGGGGGACAGAGUGACAGGUGGUGCAUGGUUGUCGUCAGCUCGUGUCGUGAGAUGUUGGGUUAAGUCCCGCAACGAGCGCAACCCUUGAUCUUAGUUGCCAGCAUUCAGUUGGGCACUCUAAGGUGACUGCCGGUGACAAACCGGAGGAAGGUGGGGAUGACGUCAAAUCAUCAUGCCCCUUAUGACCUGGGCUACACACGUGCUACAAUGGAUGGUACAAAGGGCUGCAAAACCGCGAGGUUGAGCCAAUCCCAUAAAACCAUUCUCAGUUCGGAUUGUAGGCUGCAACUCGC
This 1161-nucleotide ribosomal RNA is filed under the name Neobacillus soli. RNAcentral describes it as "bacterial SSU rRNA". It matches the Rfam family "Bacterial small subunit ribosomal RNA", at positions 173 to 1315 of the family's 1533-position model. Lineage: Bacteria; Bacillati; Bacillota; Bacilli; Caryophanales; Bacillaceae. The record is from RNAcentral.